RNAcentral lists this ribosomal RNA (278 nucleotides) under uncultured Staphylococcus sp. RNAcentral's name for it is "partial 16S ribosomal RNA". It matches the Rfam family "Bacterial small subunit ribosomal RNA", at positions 505 to 783 of the family's 1533-position model. Lineage: Bacteria; Bacillati; Bacillota; Bacilli; Caryophanales; Staphylococcaceae. The record is from RNAcentral.
GUGCCAGCCGCCGCGGUAAUACGUAGGUGGCAAGCGUUAUCCGGAAUUAUUGGGCGUAAAGCGCGCGUAGGCGGUUUUUAAGUCUGAUGUGAAAGCCCACGGCUCAACCGUGGAGGGUCAUUGGAAACUGGAAAACUUGAGUGCAGAAGAGGAAAGUGGAAUUCCAUGUGUAGCGGUGAAAUGCGCAGAGAUAUGGAGGAACACCAGUGGCGAAGGCGACUUUCUGGUCUGUAACUGACGCUGAUGUGCGAAAGCGUGGGGAUCAAACAGGAUUAGAU